This 327-nucleotide ribosomal RNA is filed under the name uncultured eukaryote. RNAcentral describes it as "partial 18S ribosomal RNA". It matches the Rfam family "Eukaryotic small subunit ribosomal RNA", at positions 1470 to 1796 of the family's 1831-position model. The record is from RNAcentral.
CCCUUAGAUGUUCUGGGCCGCACGCGCGCUACACUGACGAAUGCAACGAGCUUAUAACCUUGGCCGAAAGGUCUGGGUAAUCUCCAAAUUUCGUCGUGAUGGGGAUAGAUUAUUGCAAUUAUUAAUCUUCAACGAGGAAUGCCUAGUAAGCGCAAGUCAUCAGCUUGCGUUGAUUACGUCCCUGCCCUUUGUACACACCGCCCGUCGCUCCUACCGAUUGAAUGGUCCGGUGAAGCGCUCGGACCGCGGCCUCUUGACGGUUUUCCGUCGAUUGGCUGUGGGAAGUUCGUUAAACCUUAUCAUUUAGAGGAAGGAGAAGUCGUAACA